RNAcentral lists this ribosomal RNA (433 nucleotides) under Rhytismatales sp. NO488. Its description in RNAcentral is "eukaryotic LSU rRNA". The stretch from base 109 to 262 matches the Rfam family "5.8S ribosomal RNA". The record is from RNAcentral. Lineage: Eukaryota; Fungi; Ascomycota; Leotiomycetes; Rhytismatales.
GCUUUGACGGGCCCGUCCUCCGGGACCGCCGGCUGCGGCUGGUCCGCGCCCGUCAGAGGACCUCCAACUCUUGUCAAACCUACCGUCUGAGUACGAUACAAUCAUUAAAACUUUCAACAACGGAUCUCUUGGUUCUGGCAUCGAUGAAGAACGCAGCGAAAUGCGAUAAGUAAUGUGAAUUGCAGAAUUCAGUGAAUCAUCGAAUCUUUGAACGCACAUUGCGCCCUCUGGUAUUCCGGGGGGCAUGCCUGUUCGAGCGUCAUUACAACCCUCAAGCUCUGCUUGGUAUUGGGCAUCACCGGCCUCGGCGUGCCUCAAAAUCAGUGGCGGCGCCGCUCGGCUCCAAGCGUAGUAAUACUCCUCGCUUCCGGACGUCGGGUGUGUGGCUGCCAGCAACCCCCAACAUAUCAAGGUUGACCUCGGAUCAGGUAGG